UAAGGUUCUGUUAAUGUGCGAGGGUUGCUGGUCGGUGCAGACUCAGUGGGCCGAAGGGCCUGUUUCCGCACUGUAUUAGAAAAUUCUCGAUGUUAAUGCAAGUUUCUAAUGCUUUAUGAUUAGAUAAUGGUGAGCUCGGACUAUUAAAAUAUACAUUUACAUGAGCAAAAAAUAUUAGACACUAAGGCCAAUGUGGAAGCAUUGUUAGUCUGCAAAUGAUCAUGAGUCAGAAUAAAGUCACAGUAGCAAUGAAAUGAAAUGAGCCCCUGAGACAUCCAUUUUUGCAUUUUUCCACUGUAUACAUUUUUCAAUCAUCUGAGUGUUAUGUAUAUUGAAGAAGGUGAAAGGUCAGAUAGAACAAUUGAAGGUGAAAUGUGGAACAUUCCUCUCGACCCCACCAUAGGCUAUCAAAACAAGUCAAGGAAGCCACUCGGACUGAUAAACAUUGCAUAUUCUUCUCACACAUGGUGAAUUCCAUCCUAGUUCAGUAAUAGCCUCAGCUAACUCUUAGAAUUAUUUCCAAGGGAAAAAGAUACCUCACCAUUUCUUCCACAGAUGCUGUCUGACCCGCUGAGGUACUCCUGUACUUUGUGUUUUACUUAAGGUUCCAGCAUCUGCAGUGCCUUGUAUCUCCAUUCUACUACCUCACCCUCUAACUUGGUUCUGAUCUUAUAAAGUUAAAAAUGUGACCUUUUUUUCUCUAAUCUAUCUGGUUGAAAUAAAUAUUGGCAGAAACAUUAUCUUUAUCUUCGUAAUCAAAUCUCUCCUUAACACUGAGACUUAAGAAGGAAGAAUGAAG
Amblyraja radiata (thorny skate) is the source of this 799-nucleotide long non-coding RNA. RefSeq lists it as uncharacterized. Lineage: Eukaryota; Metazoa; Chordata; Chondrichthyes; Rajiformes; Rajidae. The record is from RefSeq and is a predicted model, not a curated record. The transcript is spliced from 2 exons.